Molecule: non-coding RNA, 75 nt
Organism: Podarcis lilfordi (Lilford's wall lizard)
Lineage: Eukaryota; Metazoa; Chordata; Lepidosauria; Squamata; Lacertidae
Source: the annotation of a GenBank genome assembly
GGAAGGGCCAUAGCUCAGCAGGAGAGCAUCUGCUUUGCAUGCAGAAGGUGCCAGGUUCAAUCCCUGGCAUUUCCA